UACAGAGGAUGCAAGCGUUAUCCGGAAUGAUUGGGCGUAAAGCGUCUGUAGGUGGCUUUUUAAGUCCGCCGUCAAAUCCCAGGGCUCAACCCUGGACAGGCGGUGGAAACUACCAAGCUGGAGUACGGUAGGGGCAGAGGGAAUUUCCGGUGGAGCGGUGAAAUGCGUAGAUAUCGAGAGGAACACCUGCGGCGAAGGCGGGUAGCUGGGCCGACACUGACGCUGAGGCGCGAAAGCCAGGGGAGCGAACGGG
Molecule: ribosomal RNA, 253 nt
Filed under: uncultured bacterium
Lineage: Bacteria
Description: partial 16S ribosomal RNA
Rfam family: Bacterial small subunit ribosomal RNA
Source: RNAcentral